Molecule: long non-coding RNA, 549 nt
Filed under: Homo sapiens (human)
Lineage: Eukaryota; Metazoa; Chordata; Mammalia; Primates; Hominidae
Description: non-protein coding lnc-SHH-5:1
Source: RNAcentral
AAAACAUUUAAAAUCAAUUUUUUUUUGCAAAUUUGAAACACACCAUGCAUUAUUAUAAACUACAGUCAUCAGGCUAUGCAAUGCUUCACUAAAACUUGUUCUUUUUGUCUGACUGACACUGUGGACCUAUUGACCAGUGUCUCCCCAGUCCCCAUUCUGCUCCCCACAGCCACAGCCCCUGGUAACCACCCUCCUACUCCCGGCUUCUACGAGUUCGGCACUUUCAGAUUCCACACCCAGAAAACUCCGACUCCACCAACACGAAUUAGAAGUGGCAGUCAGAGGACAUUGCUAUGAGAGGAAGGAGUUCGAGGAGCAGAGAUUAUCCCAGCCUGAAUGUGCCCUUCGUUGAUUUCAUGAUGUUGCGGAGGCAGAAGCCUGAGGUCAAAGUGUGGCAAUCACGCCCUCCUGGCUGCUGGGCUGCCAGAGUCCUCGCGUUCCUGACUGCAGCUGCACCACUUCCAUCUCUGUCUCCAUUAUCCCCUGUCCAUCUUCCCUCUGCCUGUGUCACUUCUCUUCCUAUAAGGACACUCGUCAUGUUGGAUUAAG